This 235-nucleotide ribosomal RNA is filed under the name uncultured bacterium. RNAcentral's name for it is "partial 16S ribosomal RNA". It matches the Rfam family "Bacterial small subunit ribosomal RNA", at positions 96 to 334 of the family's 1533-position model. The record is from RNAcentral.
UGGCGGACGGGUGAGUAAUGUCUGGGAAACUGCCUGAUGGAGGGGGAUAACUACUGGAAACGGUAGCUAAUACCGCAUAACGUCGCAAGACCAAAGAGGGGGACCUUCGGGCCUCUUGCCAUCGGAUGUGCCCAGAUGGGAUUAGCUAGUAGGCGGGGUAAAGGCUCACCUAGGCGACGAUCCCUAGCUGGUCUGAGAGGAUGACCAGCCACACUGGAACUGAGACACGGUCCAG